AGAGUUUGAUCCUGGCUCAGAAUUAACGCUGGCGCGCGCCUAACACAUGCAAGUCGAACGAGAAAGGGGAGCAAUCCCUGAGUACAGUGGCGUACGGGUGAGUAACACGUGGAUAAUCUACCUUCUGGUGAGGAAUAACCAUGGGAAACCGUGGCUAAUACCGCAUAAGCUCGAGAGAGGAAAGCAGCAAUGUGCCGGAA
This 200-nucleotide ribosomal RNA is filed under the name uncultured bacterium. RNAcentral's name for it is "partial 16S ribosomal RNA". It matches the Rfam family "Bacterial small subunit ribosomal RNA", at positions 8 to 223 of the family's 1533-position model. The record is from RNAcentral.